Molecule: long non-coding RNA, 1291 nt
Organism: Onychostoma macrolepis
Lineage: Eukaryota; Metazoa; Chordata; Actinopteri; Cypriniformes; Cyprinidae
Exons: 6
Source: RefSeq, a predicted model, not a curated record
GUUUGACAGUCCAAACAACUAACUGUCCUCAAACACAGUCAGAUGGUGUGAUGGUGCUGCUGGUCCCUCUCUGCCUUCAACUGUCCCUCAUAUAAUGAGGUAGAUGGGGAUAACGAGAACAAGACCAAAUGGACCCAGUUUAGUGAGAUGGAGGUGGUUACUCUUGAACAGAAUGCCAUCAGCAGCCUUCAACAAACGAAAUAAAUCCUCUGACCAGACUCCGAUAAAGACACGUCAGAAAUCUCCAAGAAUGUUCUUCUUACCAAAGCAGAAUAUGUGUAGAUUUUUUUUGUGAAAUAUUCCUUUCCUUAUGAAUCUGGAAGGAAAUGGCUACUCAUGGUACCAGUUCCUCAAACACAAAUUCAAAGCGGAGCUGCACCUCUGGUUCUCGAUGAGCAAGGAGAAUGAUGCUGUCUCAAGAAAUUCCAGGAUCCUGUCCCAGAUCUAUGUUAGGGGAACUUGUUGCCAUUGAAGAUACAUCCUCCAGUGAAUGCCUUGGAUAUUCAGUGUAAUGUGUAUUCAGUGAUGUGACCAGAUACCUUCCUUGUCAAAGCCAUAUGAUGUCUGUGUGGUAAGCUUUUGAAUUCAGUAUCUUAUGCUUUACAUUUCCACGUGUUGAAACUGAAUAGAGUAUAAUUAAACCAGGAGUUGGACUUUCAGACCCUUGACACAUGCUCUGUUGUUGAUAAAUUGUGAUUCUCAUGAAUGCUUGAAUUGUAUAUUUAAAAUGAAACAUGCAGAACUAAUUUUGGAAAAAGUUAAAUUGACCAAUUUAUGUGAUAAAAUGUUAAUGGUAUGAAUGUUGCAGUAAAAAUAAUUAAAUUCAAGUUUAUUUGUAUUCACGAUGCAAAUUGUUUCAAAGCAGCUUUACACCGUGACCUAACUACACACGACGCCACACCGCGAUGCGACAGAAUCAAUCAAAUAUCUCAGCCAAUCAGAAGCGUGUGUGGGCGGGCUCUCUCUGAAAGCGCACUGCUCUUGCAACGAAAUGGAUAUGUUUAUAAUCUAAUUCAUAAAUUUUAAAGCUUUUUAACAUCAUUAAAUAUACAUACUGAGUGACUGAUAACAUCUUUGUUAUGGAGUACACUCGUUGGUUCGCAGUGAGUUCACAGUUUUAACGGUCAUCUUUUGAUUUAAUUUAUUUUUCAAGAUCUGAGGUAAACUAUCUGUUGUUUCUUUCAGUAUGGGUCACCCAAUAUGAUAUUUAAACUCAUAUUAGACACGUUUCAUUUUGAAUAAAGCAUAUAAUCACCUGAGAUUAUCUACUGUCAUAUAGUUUGUAUGCAGG